Non-coding RNA from Desmophyllum pertusum, 76 nucleotides. The record is from the annotation of a GenBank genome assembly. Lineage: Eukaryota; Metazoa; Cnidaria; Anthozoa; Scleractinia; Caryophylliidae.
GUCCCUGUAGCUCAGUGGUUAGAGCAUCCGACCGGUGCGGAAGGUCAUGGGUUCGAACCCCGCUUUUUCGGGGACU